Molecule: ribosomal RNA, 379 nt
Filed under: uncultured bacterium
Lineage: Bacteria
Description: partial 16S ribosomal RNA
Rfam family: Bacterial small subunit ribosomal RNA
Source: RNAcentral
UGGGGGAAUUUUUGGACAAUGGGGGGAAACCCUGAUCCAGCCAUCCCGCGUGUGCGAUGAAGGCCUUCGGGUUGUAAAGCACUUUUGGCAGGAAAGAAACGUCGUGGGUUAAUACCCCGCGAAACUGACGGUACCUGCAGAAUAAGCACCGGCUAACUACGUGCCAGCAGCCGCGGUAAUACGUAGGGUGCAAGCGUUAAUCGGAAUUACUGGGCGUAAAGCGUGCGCAGGCGGUUCGGAAAGAAAGAUGUGAAAUCCCAGAGCUUAACUUUUGGAACUGCAUUUUUGAACUACCGGGCUAGAGUGUGUCAGAGGGAGGUGGAAUUCCCGCGUGUAGCAGUGAAAUGCGUAGAUAUGCGGAGGAACACCGAUGGCGCGA